RNAcentral lists this non-coding RNA (27 nucleotides) under Homo sapiens (human). Lineage: Eukaryota; Metazoa; Chordata; Mammalia; Primates; Hominidae. The record is from RNAcentral.
AGCGGAGGGACCAAAAAGAUGUUUGUG